Molecule: ribosomal RNA, 253 nt
Filed under: uncultured bacterium
Lineage: Bacteria
Description: partial 16S ribosomal RNA
Rfam family: Bacterial small subunit ribosomal RNA
Source: RNAcentral
UACGAAGGGGGCUAGCGUUGUUCGGAAUCACUGGGCGUAAAGCGCACGUAGGCGGAUUUUUAAGUCAGGGGUGAAAUCCCGGGGCUCAACCUCAGAACUGCCUUUGAUACUGGAGAUCUUGAGUCCGGAAGAGGUAAGUGGAACUGCGAGUGUAGAGGUGAAAUUCGUAGAUAUUAGCUAGAACACCAGUGGCGAAGGCGGCCAACUGGUCCGGUACUGACGCUGAGGUGCGAAAGCGUGGGGAGCAAACAGG